AUUAAAGAGAGUUUGAUCCUGGCUCAGGACGAACGCUGGCGGCGUGCCUAAUACAUGCAAGUAGAACGCUGAGAACUGGUGCUUGCACCGGUUCAAGGAGUUGCGAACGGGUGAGUAACGCGUAGGUAACCUACCUCAUAGCGGGGGAUAACUAUUGGAAACGAUAGCUAAUACCGCAUAAGAGAGACUAACGCAUGUUAGUAAUUUAAAAGGGGCAAUUGCUCCACUAUGAGAUGGACCUGCGUUGUAUUAGCUAGUUGGUGAGGUAAAGGCUCACCAAGGCGACGAUACAUAGCCGACCUGAGAGGGUGAUCGGCCACACUGGGACUGAGACACGGCCCAGACUCCUACGGGAGGCAGCAGUAGGGAAUCUUCGGCAAUGGGGGCAACCCUGACCGAGCAACGCCGCGUGAGUGAAGAAGGUUUUCGGAUCGUAAAGCUCUGUUGUUAGAGAAGAAUGAUGGUGGGAGUGGAAAAUCCACCAAGUGACGGUAACUAACCAGAAAGGGACGGCUAACUACGUGCCAGCAGCCGCGGUAAUACGUAGGUCCCGAGCGUUGUCCGGAUUUAUUGGGCGUAAAGCGAGCGCAGGCGGUUUUUUAAGUCUGAAGUUAAAGGCAUUGGCUCAACCAAUGUACGCUUUGGAAACUGGAGAACUUGAGUGCAGAAGGGGAGAGUGGAAUUCCAUGUGUAGCGGUGAAAUGCGUAGAUAUAUGGAGGAACACCGG
Molecule: ribosomal RNA, 728 nt
Filed under: Lacticaseibacillus rhamnosus
Lineage: Bacteria; Bacillati; Bacillota; Bacilli; Lactobacillales; Lactobacillaceae
Description: bacterial SSU rRNA
Rfam family: Bacterial small subunit ribosomal RNA
Source: RNAcentral